ACACCAGCACCUCAAGUGGUCAGGAUGAUUAUUGGGCCUAAAGCAUCCGUAGCCGGCUCUGUAAGUUUUCGGUUAAAUCUGUACGCUUAACGUACAGGCUGCCGGGAAUACUGCAGAGCUAGGGAGUGGGUGAGGUAGACGGUACUCGGGAGGAAGUGGUAAAAUGCUUUGAUCUCUCGAUGACCACCUGUGGCGAAGGCGGUCUACCAGAACACGUCCGACGGUGAGGGAUGAAAGCUGGGGGAGCAAACCGGAUUAGAAACCCUAGUAGUCC
This 274-nucleotide ribosomal RNA is filed under the name uncultured bacterium. Its description in RNAcentral is "partial 16S ribosomal RNA". It matches the Rfam family "Archaeal small subunit ribosomal RNA", at positions 473 to 747 of the family's 1478-position model. The record is from RNAcentral.